CCUACGGGAGGCAGCAGUGGGGAAUAUUGGGCAAUGGAGGCAACUCUGACCCAGCAAAGCCGCGUGAAUGAUGAAGGUCUUCGGAUUGUAAAGUUCUGUGAUGGGGGAUGAACACAAUGACGGUACUCCAAUAGCAAGCCACGGCUAACUACGUGCCAGCAGCCGCGGUAAUACGUAGGUGGCAAGCGUGAUCCGGAAUGACUGGGGGUAAAGGGUGCGUAGGUGGUUUUGUAAGUUGGAGGUGUAAUUCCGGGGCUCAACCUCGGCGCUACCGCAAAAACUGGUAGACUGGAGUGCAGGAGAGGUAAGUGGAAUUCGUGGUGUAGCGGUGAAAUGCGUAGAUAUUAGGAGGAACACCAGGGGCGAAGGCGGCUUACUGGACUGUAACUGACACUGAGGCACGAAAGCGUGGGGAGCAAACAGGAUUAGAUACCCUAGUAGUC
Molecule: ribosomal RNA, 443 nt
Filed under: uncultured bacterium
Lineage: Bacteria
Description: partial 16S ribosomal RNA
Rfam family: Bacterial small subunit ribosomal RNA
Source: RNAcentral